GAGCGGGGCCUCCUCCAAUCAGCUGCAGGCCUGAGUAGAACAAAAGACAACCCCCACCCCCAGUGAAAGAGAAUACCUCUCACCUGAAGUCUUCAAACUGGAACAUGAGCUCCUCUUGGUUCUACGUAGCUUCCAGCCUUUGGACCUGACCUAGGACAGUGGGUCUGCAAAUUUUGGGCUUGACAGCCUCCAGCUGGUGGAAAGAGGUACAGGCCCUGGGAGCAGGACAAGAGUGCCUGACCAGUGAGGGUCAGGGCGAAGCAGGGAGGAGGUCAGCCUGUGGUCCCCGAGAGGGUCCAGGCUGGAUACUGAUCCUUGUCGCUGUUGACCAAAGCAGAGGGCAGGCUGUGUGCCACGUGGCAGGGGGAUCCCCAGGGGUGCAGCGGGCAGCAGAACCAAGUGUCUCAAAGGGAAUCCAGGCAGAAAGUGACGGGGACUGAGCCAAGUCUGGCUGUUGUAAGGUCAGAGAGAGGAGGGGAGACUCAGACAAGAUCCUGUAACCAACCAGGUGUGGGAGGUAAUGUGUGGGUGAGACAUUUUCCACGGGCAUCCUCAGCAUCAGAGAGAAGACCCAAAGCAGGUGUGGCCAGGCAAGAAGCUGGCUGUUCACACCUGCGUGAGGCUGGUCCCCAGGACACAGGCUGGAACCAGAGUGGUCCCCAACCUCGUUGGCACCAGGGACCGGUUUCGUGGAAGACAGUCUUUCCUUAAACCAGAAGGUGAUGGUUUUGGCAUGAGUCAAGGGCAUUUCAUUUCUUGUGCACUUCAUUUCUGUUAUUAUUACAUCAGUUCCACCUCAGAUCAUCAGGCAUCAGACCCUGGAGGUUGGGGACCCCUGAUUUACUGGAUGCUGGAAGACAGAAGGACCAUGGUGGGAGCCUGGGGUCGGGGAAGGCACAUGCCUUAUGCUGAUCGUCUUCUCAGAAGGACACACGAGGAAGCCAGCUGCAGGCGCCGACCCAAGAGCUCGCAUGGACCCCAGGGUCUGGGUGGCUGCUUGGCGGGGGGGCCGACAUGGAGGGGUUUGGAGGAUGUGUACAGUGGUGGGGCACGCAGAUGGAAACAUGAGUUUCCUAGGGUGAAAGUGCAGGACACGGAGACCCCAGUGAUAAGCUUCCAUUAAAAAAAAUUGUUUUGCUAACAUCUCACUGUAAUGGAGAAGAAGCUUUGAGAGUCACCUGGUCCUGCAAGUCUAGCCCCACAAUACUCUCACAGGUCAAGAUUUAUCUGAAAUGCUCAGAGGAGGCCGUCAUAGAUGUUGAUGCAUAUUUCAUCGUGUCUGGCACACUGCUAAUCUCACAAACAGAUUUAUGAAAAC
Bos taurus (domestic cattle) is the source of this 1318-nucleotide long non-coding RNA. The record is from Ensembl. Lineage: Eukaryota; Metazoa; Chordata; Mammalia; Artiodactyla; Bovidae.